This 536-nucleotide long non-coding RNA is filed under the name Ananas comosus (pineapple). Its description in RNAcentral is "long non-coding RNA (ACOM_LNC035609)". The record is from RNAcentral. Lineage: Eukaryota; Viridiplantae; Streptophyta; Magnoliopsida; Poales; Bromeliaceae.
UUAUUUAGUUCGAUGUUUAUGUUUGAUCUUGAUAAGUUUACUUGAAUUUUGAUUAUGUUUUAAGAAUGUUUUUGCAGGAAUAAUUCAAGACUUCAAGACUCCAUAUCUAAGUCAUAGAGUCUGUGUUAAGGUUAUAAAUUGUAAUUUUCGGUUAUUGGAUCGAUCAUGCAGGAGAUUAUCGUUUGGUGAUUUCGAUGAUCUUCUUUUUAUUAUUUUUGAGUUGUGUACGAACUUUGUAAUAUAUUUUGUCACGAAAUCGCCAAAGGGGGAGAUUGUUAAAGGAUUUUAUAGGUUGGCGGAUUUCGUAAUGUUGAAUGGAGUCUUGAAGAGUUGAUUGCGGAAGAUUGAAAAAAAGAUCUAAAUUGAAGAACAAAGACUCACUCGUAAAGUUCGGCAUCUAAGGUAUGAAGAAAAGAUCAUUUGUGGUGAAGAUACUUAAUUAGAAUAAGUUCAGAAGGCUUAGAUUGCUUUAAAAAUAUUUUACUGAACUUUUCUGUGUUCAGGGACCGGUCCCUGAGUUCAAGAGACUGGUUCCU